AAGCAGGAGAGCACAGGCUGACCCUUCCAUGCCCUGUCUCUGUAGCCCUGUCAGAAGCUGGAUUUGGGGGCCUCAGUCCAGAGAUCUGUCCAAACUCCAGAGUUGGGACUGGCAGAGCAGACAAAAGGAGGCCCACUCCUUGCUUCUUGUCUCAAGUUCUUUUUGUAGCAGAUAAAGGCUUCUAGACCCUAAUCGCUGAGAUGAGACAUGUCACUCCUCCUUCAAGGGAACAAACCCAAAUCCCAACUCCAUCGCUCUGCUGGGGAAGCUAGGUCACACUUCCAGACACACCUCUAACAUGAUUAGACAGGGAGGUCUGCUCUCUGUCCAGGCUGAGGAUUCCCCUCCGCUCAGCUCUUGCUUCUGACAACCGUCCCUCCUGCAAGUGUAAAAGCUGGAGUCAGCUCAGAGGGGAGCAGGAGCGAGAGGCGGGCUUUGGUCUGGCCUUGCUUGCAGGAUGCAGGCUGGCGGGAGGCUUCUGGCUUCCUGGAGGGACUGCGAAAACUCAGGCUCUCAUCACAUGGUCUGGAACUGAACCUGCAAUAGCUCAGAGGUCUGCCCAUGUUAUUGUAUCUCUGGCUUAUGGAUGGGGAAAGUGAUGACAGAAAGUUUAAGAGACUUGUGCAAAUUUACGCAGCUAGUAAGGUGCAGAAGUGGGAUUUGAUUUGAACGCUGUUUUGUGUGAUUCCAGCGCUGCACCACAGUGGCAACAUAACGGGAGUGGGUGGGAGUAUCCUGGGGAUUGGAUGGAUGACGACUGCCCACCGUGCUGUGAAGUACCAGCACACUAGUUACUGGCUUGGCCCUCCGAGGAGGUUUCCCUCUGGAAAUGUCACUUGGUUGCUCUUUGAAGUUGGGUAGAAUUGAGAACGGCAC
Molecule: non-coding RNA, 876 nt
Organism: Vicugna pacos (alpaca)
Lineage: Eukaryota; Metazoa; Chordata; Mammalia; Artiodactyla; Camelidae
Source: RefSeq, a predicted model, not a curated record